RNAcentral lists this transfer RNA (77 nucleotides) under Candidatus Jordarchaeia archaeon. RNAcentral describes it as "tRNA-Thr". The stretch from base 8 to 66 matches the Rfam family "tRNA", at positions 9 to 63 of the family's 71-position model. Rfam says of the family: Transfer RNA (tRNA) molecules are approximately 80 nucleotides in length. Their secondary structure includes four short double-helical elements and three loops (D, anti-codon, and T loops). Further hydrogen bonds mediate the characteristic L-shaped molecular structure. tRNAs have two regions of fundamental functional importance: the anti-codon, which is responsible for specific mRNA codon recognition, and the 3' end, to which the tRNAs corresponding amino acid is attached (by aminoacyl-tRNA synthetases). tRNAs cope with the degeneracy of the genetic code in two manners: having more than one tRNA (with a specific anti-codon) for a particular amino acid; and 'wobble' base-pairing, i.e. permitting non-standard base-pairing at the 3rd anti-codon position. The record is from RNAcentral. Lineage: Archaea; Promethearchaeati; Candidatus Jordarchaeia.
GCGGGAAAGCUCAGCCUGGUUAGAGCGUCUCACUGGUAAUGAGAAGGCCCCGGGUUCAAAGCCCGGCCGGGGCUCCA